This 253-nucleotide ribosomal RNA is filed under the name Bilophila wadsworthia. Its description in RNAcentral is "partial 16S ribosomal RNA". It matches the Rfam family "Bacterial small subunit ribosomal RNA", at positions 524 to 776 of the family's 1533-position model. Lineage: Bacteria; Pseudomonadati; Thermodesulfobacteriota; Desulfovibrionia; Desulfovibrionales; Desulfovibrionaceae. The record is from RNAcentral.
UACGGAGGGUGCAAGCGUUAAUCGGAAUCACUGGGCGUAAAGCGCACGUAGGCGGCUUGGUAAGUCAGGGGUGAAAUCCCACAGCCCAACUGUGGAACUGCCUUUGAUACUGUCAGGCUUGAGUACCGGAGAGGGUGGCGGAAUUCCAGGUGUAGGAGUGAAAUCCGUAGAUAUCUGGAGGAACACCGGUGGCGAAGGCGGCCACCUGGACGGUAACUGACGCUGAGGUGCGAAAGCGUGGGUAGCAAACAGG